Molecule: ribosomal RNA, 1671 nt
Filed under: Triticum aestivum (bread wheat)
Lineage: Eukaryota; Viridiplantae; Streptophyta; Magnoliopsida; Poales; Poaceae
Description: partial small subunit ribosomal RNA
Source: RNAcentral
AUGGCGGCCGCCGCCGCGGCGCUCGCGAGCUCGCCCCUCGUCCACCUCACCGCCGCGGCCCGCCUCCGCCUCCGCCUCCCCAGGCCCAGGCCCUCCGUGGCCUCCUCGCGAUGGGGGUGCCCGCGAGGCGCCUACCUGGUGGACUGGAGGCCCCUGAGGCGGUGCGACCGGAUGCGGCGCUUCUCCGUCGACGAGGGCGGCGGAGGCGGGGAGGACGGGGAGAAGCGGGGCGAGGAGGAGGCGGCAGCGCCCGUGGAAGCCAAGGUGGGGGCCGCGGAGGAGCUGGGCUCGGAGCGGAGCCGCUCGGGGAGCUUCUCUUCCUCGUCGUCGCCGUCCUCUGCGACUCCUGGUGUAUCAAGCGAGCCUCCUCUUUUGAGCUUCAGUGUGGAUAAUAUCGAUACAGUUAAGUUAUUGGAACUCCUAGGCCCAGAAAAGGUUGAUCAAGCUGAUGUCAAGGCCAUCAAGGAAAAGUUUUUUGGCUACACAACAUUCUGGUUGACAAGAGAAGAACCUUUUGGUGAUCUUGGGGAAGGAGUCCUUUUUGUUGGGAAUCUCCGAGGGGACAGAGAAGAAAUCUUUGGAAAACUUCAACGGCAGCUACGUGAACUUACAGGUGACAAAUACAAUCUUUUCAUGGUGGAAGAGCCCAAUUCAGAAGAGGAUGACCCACGCGGGGGGCCACGUGUUAGUUUUGGUUUGCUCAGAAGAGAAGUUUCUGAGCCUGGACCUACUACCCUGUGGCAAUACGUUAUUUCGCUGUUACUUUUCCUUCUCACUGUGUUCUCCUGUAUUGAGCUAGGAAUUGCGUCAAAGAUAAGCAGUCUUCCACCAGACAUUGUUUCAUAUUUCACUGAUCCAAAUGCUACUGGACCCCCACCUGACAUGCAACUUUUACUUCCAUUUGUGGAGUCAGCUCUACCAGUGGCUUAUGGCGUCUUGGCUAUCCAACUAUUUCAUGAAGUUGGACACUUUUUGGCAGCAUACCCAAAGAAUGUGAAACUGGGCAUUCCUUUCUUCAUUCCGAACUUUACUCUUGGAACUUUUGGUUCAAUUACUCAGUUCAAAUCCAUUCUACCAGAUCGAAAGACAAUGUUUGACGUAUCAAUGGCUGGUCCUUUGGCUGGAGCUGCACUUUCUUUUUCAAUGUUCUCUGUAGGCUUGUGGCUCUCCUCAAAUCCUGCUGGGGCAACUGAUUUGGUUCAAGUACCCAGCAAUCUGUUCCAGGGUUCUUUGUUGCUUGGACUUAUUAGCAGAGCAAUACUUGGUUACAGUGCUUUGCAUGCUGCUACGGUUUCUAUCCACCCUCUCGUGAUCGCUGGCUGGUGUGGUUUGACAACUACUGCCUUCAAUAUGCUUCCUGUUGGAUGUCUUGACGGUGGAAGAGGUUUACAGGGUGCUUUCGGCAAGGAUGCUUUAUUUGGAUUUGGCUUGACGACUUAUUCGUUGCUUGGACUUGGAGUGCUUGGGGGGCCGCUAUCUCUUCCCUGGGGUCUAUACGUGCUACUAUGUCAGAGAACACCUGAGAAGCCAUGCUUGGACGACGUUAGCGACGUCGGCACCUGGAGGAGGGGCGCCCUGAUAGCUUCGGUGUUCCUCGUCGUGCUGAUCCUCAUCCCUCUGUGGGACGAGCUCGCGGAGGACCUAGGCGUGGGGCUUGUGAGCUCGUUCUGA